GAUCCUGGCUCAGGACGAACGCUGGCGGCGCGCCUAACACAUGCAAGUCGAACGAGCGAGAGAGAGCUUGCUUUCUCGAGCGAGUGGCGAACGGGUGAGUAACGCGUGAGGAACCUGCCUCAAAGAGGGGGACAACAGUUGGAAACGACUGCUAAUACCGCAUAAGCCCACGACCCGGCAUCGGGUAGGGGAAAGGAGCAAUCCGCUUUGAGAUGGCCUCGCGUCCGAUUAGCUAGUUGGUUGAGGG
This 247-nucleotide ribosomal RNA is filed under the name uncultured bacterium. Its description in RNAcentral is "partial 16S ribosomal RNA". It matches the Rfam family "Bacterial small subunit ribosomal RNA", at positions 15 to 259 of the family's 1533-position model. The record is from RNAcentral.